Molecule: ribosomal RNA, 253 nt
Filed under: uncultured bacterium
Lineage: Bacteria
Description: partial 16S ribosomal RNA
Rfam family: Bacterial small subunit ribosomal RNA
Source: RNAcentral
UACGAGUGCCUCGAGCGUUAUCCGGAAUCAUUGGGCGUAAAGGGUGCGUAGGUGGCGCUGUAAGUCGGGUGUGAAAUUUCGGAGCUUAACUCCGAAACUGCAUUCGAUACUGCCGUGCUUGAGGACUGGAGAGGAGACUGGAAUUUACGGUGUAGCGGUGAAAUGCGUAGAUAUCGUAAGGAAGACCAGUGGCGAAGGCGGGUCUCUGGACAGUUCCUGACGCUGAGGCACGAAGGUCAGGGGAGCAAACGGG